ACGGGGGGUGCGAGCGUUGUCCGGAAUCACUGGGCGUAAAGGGCGCGUAGGUGGUUUGAUAAGGGUGUGGUGAAAGUCCGGGGCUCAACCCCGGAUCUGCCGUGCCGACUGUCAAACUCGAGGGCUGUAGAGGCAGACGGAAUUCCGGGUGUAGCGGUGGAAUGCGUAGAGAUCCGGAGGAACACCAGAGGCGAAGGCGGCCUACUGGGCUGCACCUGACGCUGAACCGCGAAAGCCAGGGGAGCGAACGGGA
Molecule: ribosomal RNA, 253 nt
Filed under: uncultured prokaryote
Description: partial 16S ribosomal RNA
Rfam family: Bacterial small subunit ribosomal RNA
Source: RNAcentral